ACAAUUUACACCACUGGGUCGAUGCCACUGCUGGUGGACGUUUCGUCCCCGAGGGUAUCACCAGCCCAGUAGUCAGCACUUCGGUGUUGACAUGAAUAUCAAUUAUAUGGUCAUUUUUAUAAAUUUUCUGUUUACAAAACUUUGAAUUUUUCAAAAAACUAAGGAUUUUCUUACCCCAGGAGUAGAUUACCUUAGCCAUAUUUGGCACAACUUUUAGGAAUUUUUGAUUCUCAAUGCUCUUCAACUUUGUAUUUAUUUGGCUUUUUAACUAUUUUGAUCUGAGCGUCACUGAUGAGUCUUAUGUAGACGAAACGCGCGUCUGGCGUAUAAAAUUAUAAUCCUGGUACUUUUAAUAACUAUUUACA
Molecule: long non-coding RNA, 365 nt
Filed under: Mytilus galloprovincialis (Mediterranean mussel)
Lineage: Eukaryota; Metazoa; Mollusca; Bivalvia; Mytilida; Mytilidae
Source: RNAcentral